Molecule: non-coding RNA, 20 nt
Filed under: Rattus norvegicus (Norway rat)
Lineage: Eukaryota; Metazoa; Chordata; Mammalia; Rodentia; Muridae
Source: RNAcentral
ACCGAGUUCCUUGUGUGGGC